RNAcentral lists this ribosomal RNA (497 nucleotides) under uncultured bacterium. RNAcentral's name for it is "partial 16S ribosomal RNA". It matches the Rfam family "Bacterial small subunit ribosomal RNA", at positions 28 to 507 of the family's 1533-position model. The record is from RNAcentral.
GAUGAACGCUGGCGGCGUGCCUAAUACAUGCAAGUCGAGCGAACAGACGAGGAGCUUGCUCCUCUGACGUUAGCGGCGGACGGGUGAGUAACACGUGGAUAACCUACCUAUAAGACUGGGAUAACUUCGGGAAACCGGAGCUAAUACCGGAUAAUAUAUUGAACCGCAUGGUUCAAUAGUGAAAGACGGUUUUGCUGUCACUUAUAGAUGGAUCCGCGCCGCAUUAGCUAGUUGGUAAGGUAACGGCUUACCAAGGCAACGAUGCGUAGCCGACCUGAGAGGGGGAUCGGCCACACGGGAACUGAGACACGGUCCAGACUCCUACGGGAGGCAGCAGUAGGGAAUCGUCCGCAAUGGUCGAAAGCCUUACGGAGCAACGCCGCGUGAGUGAUGAAGGUCUUCGGAUCGUAAAACUCUGUUAUGAGGGAAGAACAAAUGUGUAAGUAACUAUGCACGUCUUGACGGUACCUAAUCAGAAAGCCACGGCUAACUACGUG